RNAcentral lists this ribosomal RNA (253 nucleotides) under uncultured bacterium. RNAcentral's name for it is "partial 16S ribosomal RNA". It matches the Rfam family "Bacterial small subunit ribosomal RNA", at positions 524 to 776 of the family's 1533-position model. The record is from RNAcentral.
GACAGAGGGUGCGAGCGUUGUCCGGAAUCACUGGGCGUAAAGGGCGCGUAGGCGGCUUGGUAAGUAUGCGGUGAAAUCCCGGGGCUCAACCGUGGAACUGCUGGGCAUACUGCGGGUCUUGGGCCAACUAGGGGCAGCCGGAACAAGCGGUGGAGCGGUGAAAUGCGUAGAUAUCGCUUGGAACGCCGAAGGUGAAAACAGACUGCUGGGGGUGCGCCGACGCUGAGACACGAAAGCCAGGGGAGCAAACGGG